UGGGGAAUUUUGGACAAUGGGCGCAAGCCUGAUCCAGCCAUGCCGCGUGCGGGAAGAAGGCCUUCGGGUUGUAAACCGCUUUUGUCAGGGAAGAAAUCUUCUGAGUUAAUACCUCGGGGAGGAUGACGGUACCUGAAGAAUAAGCACCGGCUAACUACGUGCCAGCAGCCGCGGUAAUACGUAGGGUGCAAGCGUUAAUCGGAAUUACUGGGCGUAAAGCGUGCGCAGGCGGUUUUGUAAGACAGAGGUGAAAUCCCCGGGCUCAACCUGGGAACUGCCUUUGUGACUGCAAGGCUUGAGUGCGGCAGAGGGGGGAUGGAAUUCCGCGUGUAGCAGUGAAAUGCGUAGAUAUGCGGAGGAACACCGAUGGCGAAGGCAAUCCCCUGGGCCUGCACUGACGCUCAUGCACGAAAGCGUGGGGAGCAAACCAGGAUUAGAUAGCCCUGGUAGUCCACGCCCUAAACGAUGUCAACUGGUUGUUGGGAAGGUUCCUUCUCAGUAACGUAGCUAACGCGUGAAGUUGACCGCCUGGGGAGUACGGCCGCAAGGUU
Molecule: ribosomal RNA, 551 nt
Filed under: uncultured bacterium
Lineage: Bacteria
Description: partial 16S ribosomal RNA
Rfam family: Bacterial small subunit ribosomal RNA
Source: RNAcentral